RNAcentral lists this ribosomal RNA (440 nucleotides) under uncultured bacterium. RNAcentral describes it as "partial 16S ribosomal RNA". It matches the Rfam family "Bacterial small subunit ribosomal RNA", at positions 338 to 795 of the family's 1533-position model. The record is from RNAcentral.
CCUACGGGGGGCAGCAGUGGGGAAUAUUGCACAAUGGGGGAAACCCUGAUGCAGCGACGCCGCGUGAAGGAAGAAGUAUUUCGGUAUGUAAACUUCUAUCAGCAGGGAAGAAAAUGACGGUACCUGACUAAGAAGCCCCGGCUAACUACGUGCCAGCAGCCGCGGUCAUACGUAGGGGGCAAGCGUUAUCCGGAUUUACUGGGUGUAAAGGGAGCGUAGGCGGAGCAGCAAGUCAGAGGUGAAAGCCCGGGGCUCAACACCGGGACUGCUUUUGAAACUGUUGAACUCGAGUGCAGGAGAGGUAAGUGGAAUUCCUAGUGUAGCAGUGAAAUGCGUAGAUAUUAGGAGGAACACCAGUGGCGAAGGCGGCUUGCUGGACUGUAAAUGACGCUGAGGCUCGAAAGCGUGGGGAGCAAACAGGAUUAGAUACCCGAGUAGUC